RNAcentral lists this ribosomal RNA (392 nucleotides) under uncultured bacterium. RNAcentral's name for it is "bacterial SSU rRNA". It matches the Rfam family "Bacterial small subunit ribosomal RNA", at positions 27 to 414 of the family's 1533-position model. The record is from RNAcentral.
GAUUGAACGCUGGCGGCGUGCUUAACACAUGCAAGUCGAUCGGUAACAGGUGUAGCAAGUACAUGCUGACGAGAGGCGGACGGGUGAGUAAUGCUUGGGAAUCUGCCUAUUAGUGGGGGACAACCCGGGGGAAACUCGGGCUAAUACCGCAUACGCUCUACGGAGGAAAGCCCGGGGACCGCAAGGCCUGGCCGCUAAUAGAUGAGCCCAAGUCGGAUUAGACUAGUUGGUAGGGUAACGGCCUACCAAGGCGACAAUCCGUAGCUGGUCUGAGAGGACGACCAGCCACACCGGAACUGAGACACGGUCCGGACUCCUACGGGAGGCAGCAGUGGGGAAUAUUGGACAAUGGGGGCAACCCUGAUCCAGCGACGCCGCGUGGGUGAAGAAGG